AGUCACUGACAUUAGAUACCCGCGUAGUCCAGGGUGUAAACGCUGCAGACUUGGUGUUGGAAGUCCUUUGGGGGCAUUCAGUGCCGGAGAGAAGUUGUUAAGUCUGCUACUUGGGGAGUACGUCCGCAAGGAUGAAACUUAAAGGAAUUGGCGGGGGAGCACCGCAACGGGAGGAGCGUGCGGUUUAAUUGGAUUCAACACCGUAAACUCACCAGGGAAGACUGUUACAUGAAAGCCGAGAUGAAGACUCUGCUAGAUUUUCAG
This 264-nucleotide ribosomal RNA is filed under the name uncultured archaeon. RNAcentral describes it as "partial 16S ribosomal RNA". It matches the Rfam family "Archaeal small subunit ribosomal RNA", at positions 716 to 982 of the family's 1478-position model. The record is from RNAcentral.